GACGAACGCUGGCGGCGUGCCUAAUACAUGCCAGUAGAACGCUGAAGGAAGGAGCUUGCUCUUUCUGGAUGAGUUGCGAACGGGUGAGUAACGCGUAGGUAACCUGCCUGGUAGCGGGGGAUAACUAUUGGAAACGAUAGCUAAUACCGCAUAAAAUUGAUUAUUGCAUGAUAGUCAAUUAAAAGGUGCAACUGCACCACUACCAGAUGGACCUGCGUUGUAUUAGCUAGUUGGUGGGGUAACGGCUCUCCAAGGCGACGAUACAUAGCCGACCUGAGAGGGAGGACGGCCGGUCUGGGACUGGCACACGGACCAGACACCCUCGGGAGGGAGCAAGAAGGAAAGUUCGUCAAAGGACGGGAGUCAGACCGAGCCACGGCGGCUGGGUGAAGAAGGUUUUCGGGUCGGUAAGCUCCGUUGUACGAGAAGGACGAAGGUGAGAGUGGAAUGUUCACGCUUUGACGGUAUCUUAACAGAAAGCGACGGCUAACUACGUG
Molecule: ribosomal RNA, 497 nt
Filed under: uncultured bacterium
Lineage: Bacteria
Description: partial 16S ribosomal RNA
Rfam family: Bacterial small subunit ribosomal RNA
Source: RNAcentral